UGCGUAGGUGGUUUCUUAAGUCAGAGGUGAAAGGCUACGGCUCAACCGUAGUAAGCCUUUGAAACUGAGAAACUUGAGUGCAGGAGAGGAGAGUAGAAUUCCUAGUGUAGCGGUGAAAUGCGUAGAUAUUAGGAGGAAUACCAGUUGCGAAGGCGGCUCUCUGGACUGUAACUGACACUGAGGCACGAAAGCGUGGGGAAGCAAACA
This 207-nucleotide ribosomal RNA is filed under the name uncultured bacterium. Its description in RNAcentral is "partial 16S ribosomal RNA". It matches the Rfam family "Bacterial small subunit ribosomal RNA", at positions 568 to 774 of the family's 1533-position model. The record is from RNAcentral.